GCCCGCCCCGCCGGCCGAGUGCGCUCGUCGCCCGCCGCGCUCCGGGCGCUCGAGGAGGACGGCGCGGGGGAGGCGCGCGGCUGGGGGGAGCGCACGGGGGCCCGUGCUCCGGGUUCCCUGGGAGGCGCACGGGCCGGCCGGGCGCGGCGGGCGCGCCACCUCCUGGGGCACCAGGGGCGCUUCCGCGCUCGGUCAGGAAGGAGGCUCAGAAAGCGGCCGGGCGGGACGCUGCCCCCGUGCGCCGCCCCGUCCCCUUCGCGGGUUCCCUCCUCCGCCAGCCGGGCGGACGCCCCUCGGGCCCGCGCGCUCCGCUCCUUUGUUCGGGGGCCGUUCCGCACAGCGGCCGGGGCGGCGGGCGUCGAGACGGCCAGGGUCCGGGCGGCGGGGCGCCUGGCGGGGACAAUGAGGCCGUGCGGCCGCGCGCGCGGAGGGCUUCCUCCGGGUCCUCGCGGUGCCGGGGGCGAGCCCGGGGCUGGAAGGCAGGGGCCUCCCGGGUGCUCCCCGCGUGGUCCGGGAAGAGCGAGCGAGCGCCGGAGCCUCGGCUUCCUUUCCUGGGGAGCCAUCCCCGCCCCGCCCGGCCCCUGGGUUCAGGGGCUCCACUGUGACAAUGGACGGGAGCGCGCUUGGUCGUCAGCGGACAGUUACGGGAGCGCCAGGCGCACGCCCGUCCCCGCCCCGCCCGCUCACCUGGAGCUGUCAGGGGAAGAGGUGCUGAUUACUUCCUUGGGGAGAUGAGGCUCGCCAGCCUUACAGCAGUUAUUUCCUCAGGAUGUUUACGUCAGCUCCCCGAGCCUGGGAGGGGGCGCAGCCUGGGCCCCCACUCAGGGCCUGUGGACACCAAGGCAGGAGGGAGAAGGCUCCCCAGGCCUCAGCGUUUGCAUCUUGCCGACACAACAGGCCACUUUCUGGCCUCUCAGCUCUGUGUCUAGGAAUUUAGUAGCCUCCCGAUCGGGCCAACUGAGGGGUUUUUCCCAAACAACACGCUGGAGGUAAAGUUUCACCACUCCUGAGGCCUGUAGACGGGUAAAGGGGGGCUCCCCGCGGGGGAACAGGCCUGCCAUCCAUCCUCCCCUCCAGCCUGCGGUGCUGGACUUCAGGUGGUUGAUCAGAAGCCUGUUGAGAGGGUUGGGUGCUUCAGAGGCCCCCGGAGCAUGGGGCUCAUUCCCAGGUGGGUAAACGCAACACUUUGCGGAAGUGACAUGUUUAAUGUCUUUCUUCCCUACUAGAUGGUGGAGGCAGAGCUGUGCCUGCAGGUGACUGCAGACGUUCAGUGAAUCACACGUCUUAGCCACAUGAAGGAUCAGCUACAGCUCUGAGCCGAGGAGUGCACAGGAAGCUGCCUGCCCUGAGGGGCCCAAGUGCCCUGCGGCUCAGGUCGCCCUCCACAGACCAGAAGGCCUCAGCAAACCUGCAGAGAUCAGCGUGGUCUUCUGAAGACAUCCGUGGAGUCGAAGGCCCUCCUGCGAGGCCAGGAGGGUGAUGAUUAUGGUGAAGAGAGACAAACAGCCCUUGGCGAUGACCGGACAGCAGCCUCAGUCCCACACCCAGGACACGUGUGUAGACGCCUCCGCUCCCUCCAGGCCCUGCUUCCUGCCCUCACAUCCUUGGACACGCUGGGCUAGGUGCACAACCCUCAUGUGGAAGACCCAGUGGACUAUCUGGAGAGGGGUCCACACAGACUCCAAGGGGGCAGCAAGGUCGGGACGCUCUGAAGCACGGGGCCCAGGGCAGGGACCUCUUGUCUGACACAUCACAUAACUUAAAAGAGAGCG
RNAcentral lists this long non-coding RNA (1772 nucleotides) under Equus asinus (donkey). Its description in RNAcentral is "lncRNA (ENSEASG00005031150.1)". Lineage: Eukaryota; Metazoa; Chordata; Mammalia; Perissodactyla; Equidae. The record is from RNAcentral.